ACUCCUACGGGAGGCAGCAGUGGGGAAUCUUGGACAAUGGGGGAAACCCUGAUCCAGCCAUGCCGCGUGAGCGAUGAAGGCCUUAGGGUUGUAAAGCUCUUUCAGGUGGGAAGAUAAUGACGGUACCACCAGAAGAAGCCCGCCGUACAUCCGUGCCAGCAGCCGCGGUAAUACGGAGGGUGCGAGCGUUAAUCGGAAUUACUGGGCGUAAAGCGCAUGCAGGCGGCCUGUUAAGUCAGAUGUGAAAGCCCGGGCUUAACCUCGGAAUUGCAUUUGAAACUGGCAGGCUAGAGUCUUGUAGAGGGG
Molecule: ribosomal RNA, 306 nt
Filed under: uncultured bacterium
Lineage: Bacteria
Description: bacterial SSU rRNA
Rfam family: Bacterial small subunit ribosomal RNA
Source: RNAcentral